Molecule: transfer RNA, 88 nt
Filed under: bovine gut metagenome
Rfam family: tRNA
About the family: Transfer RNA (tRNA) molecules are approximately 80 nucleotides in length. Their secondary structure includes four short double-helical elements and three loops (D, anti-codon, and T loops).
Source: RNAcentral
GAGGAGUGGCAGAGUGGUUGAAUGCACCGGUCUUGAAAACCGACAGGCGGUUCUAACCCGCCUCGAGGGUUCGAAUCCCUCCUCCUCC